UACGUAGGGGGCAAGCGUUGUCCGGAAUCAUUGGGCGUAAAGAGCGUGUAGGCGGCUCGGUAAGUCCGCUGUGAAAGUCCAGGGCUCAACCCUGGAAUGCCGGUGGAAACUGUCGAGCUAGAGUCCGGAAGAGGCGAGUGGAAUUCCUGGUGUAGCGGUGAAAUGCGCAGAUAUCAGGAGGAACACCGGUGGCGAAGGCGGCUGCCUGGCCUAGGACCGACGCUGAGGCGCGAAAGCGUGGGGAGCAAACAGG
Molecule: ribosomal RNA, 253 nt
Filed under: uncultured bacterium
Lineage: Bacteria
Description: partial 16S ribosomal RNA
Rfam family: Bacterial small subunit ribosomal RNA
Source: RNAcentral